AGAGUUUGAUCAGUGGCUCAGGACGAACGCUGGCGGCGCGCUUAAUACAUGCAAGUCGAACGAGAAGCCAGAGCUUGCUCUGGUGGAAAGUGGCGAACGGGUGAGUAACACGUGAGAAACCUGCCCCAAAGAUUGGGAUAAGCCUUGGAAACGAGGUCUAAUACCAAAUACCUUCUUUUUAACACAUGUUAAAAGAAGAAAUGCUCCGGCGCUUUGGGAUGGUCUCGCGAUCUAUCAGCUUGUUGGUGAGGUAACGGCUCACCAAGGCAUCGUCGGAUAGCUGGUCUGAGAGGAUGUCCAGCCACAUUGGAACUGAGACACGGUCCAAACUCCUACGGGAGGCAGCAGUAGGGAAUCUUGCACAAUGAGGGAAACCUUGAUGCAGCGACGCCGCGUGCGGGACGAAGGCCCUAGGGUUGUAAACCGCUUUCAGUAGGGACGAAAGUGACGGUACCUACAGAAGAAGCCCCGGCCAACUAUGUG
RNAcentral lists this ribosomal RNA (483 nucleotides) under uncultured bacterium. RNAcentral describes it as "bacterial SSU rRNA". It matches the Rfam family "Bacterial small subunit ribosomal RNA", at positions 8 to 507 of the family's 1533-position model. The record is from RNAcentral.